Molecule: ribosomal RNA, 253 nt
Filed under: uncultured bacterium
Lineage: Bacteria
Description: partial 16S ribosomal RNA
Rfam family: Bacterial small subunit ribosomal RNA
Source: RNAcentral
UACGUAGGGGGCAAGCGUUAUCCGGAUUUACUGGGUGUAAAGGGGGCGCAGACGGCAGCGCAAGCCAGGAGUGAAAGCCCGGGGCCCAACCCCGGGACUGCUCUUGGAACUGCGCGGCUGGAGUGCAGGAGGGGCAGGCGGAAUUCCUGGUGUAGCGGUGAAAUGCGUAGAUAUAUGGAAGAACACCAGUGGCGAAAGCGGCUCUCUGGUCUGUAACUGACGCUGAGGUUCGAAAGCGUGGGUAGCAAACAGG